RNAcentral lists this ribosomal RNA (255 nucleotides) under Escherichia coli. RNAcentral's name for it is "partial 16S ribosomal RNA". It matches the Rfam family "Bacterial small subunit ribosomal RNA", at positions 1126 to 1380 of the family's 1533-position model. The record is from RNAcentral. Lineage: Bacteria; Pseudomonadati; Pseudomonadota; Gammaproteobacteria; Enterobacterales; Enterobacteriaceae.
UCCGGCCGGGAACUCAAAGGAGACUGCCAGUGAUAAACUGGAGGAAGGUGGGGAUGACGUCAAGUCAUCAUGGCCCUUACGACCAGGGCUACACACGUGCUACAAUGGCGCAUACAAAGAGAAGCGACCUCGCGAGAGCAAGCGGACCUCAUAAAGUGCGUCGUAGUCCGGAUUGGAGUCUGCAACUCGACUCCAUGAAGUCGGAAUCGCUAGUAAUCGUGGAUCAGAAUGCCACGGUGAAUACGUUCCAGGGCC